UAGAGAUAGGCGUUCCCUUGUUGGCCUGUGAUGCAGGUGGUGCAUGGCUGUCGUCAGCUCGUGUCGUGAGAUGUUGGGUUAAGUCCCGCAACGAGCGCAACCCUUAUCUUAUGUUGCCAGCGGGUAAUGCCGGGGACUCGUGAGAGACUGCCGGGGUCAACUCGGAGGAAGGUGGGGAUGACGUCAAGUCAUCAUGCCCCUUAUGUCCAGGGCUUCACACAUGCUACAAUGGCCGGUACAAAGGGCUGCGAUGCCGCAAGGUUAAGCGAAUCCUUUUAAAGCCGGUCUCAGUUCGGAUUGGGGUCUGCAACUCGACCCCAUGAAGUCGGAGUCGCUAGUAAUCGCAGAUCAGCAACGCUGCGGUGAAUACGUUCCCGGGCCUUGUACACACCG
RNAcentral lists this ribosomal RNA (393 nucleotides) under uncultured bacterium. RNAcentral's name for it is "bacterial SSU rRNA". It matches the Rfam family "Bacterial small subunit ribosomal RNA", at positions 1001 to 1392 of the family's 1533-position model. The record is from RNAcentral.